CGGCGACGGGUGAGUAACGCGUGGAAAACCUGCCGUAUACUGGGGGAUAACACUUAGAAAUAGGUGCUAAUACCGCAUAAGCGCACAGCUUCGCAUGAAGCGGUGUGAAAAACUCUGGUGGUAUACGAUGGUUCCGCGUCUGAUUAGCUAGUUGGUGGGGUAAUGGCCUACCAAGGCAACGAUCAGUAGCCGGCCUGAGAGGGUGAACGGCCACAUUGGGACUGAGACACGGCCCAAACUCCUACGGAAGGCAGCAG
Molecule: ribosomal RNA, 257 nt
Filed under: uncultured bacterium
Lineage: Bacteria
Description: partial 16S ribosomal RNA
Rfam family: Bacterial small subunit ribosomal RNA
Source: RNAcentral